Molecule: ribosomal RNA, 309 nt
Filed under: uncultured archaeon
Lineage: Archaea
Description: bacterial SSU rRNA
Rfam family: Archaeal small subunit ribosomal RNA
Source: RNAcentral
CGGCCUUAUAAGUCCGCUGUGAAAUCUGGUAGCUCAACUAUCAGAAGUGCGGUGGAUACUAUAAGGCUUGGGACCGGAAGGCGUCGAGGCUAUUCCUGGAGUAGGGGUGAAAUCCAAAAAUUCCAGGAGGAGCACCGGUGGCGAAAGCGCUCGGCGAUUACGGGUCCGACGGUGAGGGACGAAAGCCAGGGGAGCAAAAGGGAUUAGAUACCCCUGUAGUCCUGGCUGUUAACGAUGCCCACUUGAUGUGAGGAAUCUUCCGAGGAUUCCUCGUGCCAAAGGAAAACCGUUAAGUGGGCCGCCUGGGGA